Molecule: ribosomal RNA, 433 nt
Filed under: uncultured bacterium
Lineage: Bacteria
Description: partial 16S ribosomal RNA
Rfam family: Bacterial small subunit ribosomal RNA
Source: RNAcentral
AACGAACGCUGGCGGCAUGCCUAACACAUGCCAGUCGAACGAGACCUUCGGGUCUAGUGGCGCACGGGGGGGUAACGCGUGGGAAGCUGCCCUUAGGUUCGGAAUAACUCCCCGAAGGGGGUGCUAAUACCGGAUGAUGUCUUCGGACCAAAGAUUUAUCGCCUUUGGAUGGGCCCGCGUUGGAUUAGGUAGUUGGUAGGGGAAAAGCCGACCAAGGGGACGAUGCAUAGCUGGUCUGAGAGGAUGAUCAGCCACACUGGGACUGAGACACGGCCCAGACUCCUACGGGAGGCAGCAGUGGGGAAUACUGGACAAUGGGCGAAAGCCUGAUCCAGCAAUGCCGCGUGAGUCAUGAAGGCCUUAGGGUUGUAAAGCUCUUUUACCCGGGACGAUAAUGACAGUACCGGGAGAAGAAGCUCCGGCUAACUCCGUG